AGAUUACAAAGUUCAUCAUCAACAUCGUUCAGUCAAGUGAGAUAAAAGGCUGUAAAAGAAGACUCCCCAUGAUCAACAAUUCUAUGGAGUUCCGGUCUGCGCCGGAAUAUGCUUGUUCCUUCAGUGUGAAUCCCACUCUUUCCACUCCCCCCUCAAAGAGAUCCCUUCCUUGCAAGAGCUGGAUGUGUCACCGGCUGAUGUGUACUCAAAUGGCAUGAUCAUCUCAAAUGGCACUUCACCCACCUGCUGGAUCCCACACCUGAGCCUAGCAGAAAACCAGUGAUGGAAAGCUUUCCCGUAACACAAACUACAUUUUUAUCUCCUGCCUCCCCAACUCUGCCCUCCAUGGAGCUGGCAUUGAAUUUGCUAGAUGACCCAGCUGUCCAGGAGUCUGAGGAAAUACCCUCUGAAAAGUUAGAUAGCAAACUGAUCAUGUGUGUCAUUUUCUUUUAUAAUUAUAACAGAUCUCUGUUCUGUUUUAUCAAUAACUGGAGGAGAUUCUUUUUCUGAUGAAAAAAAAAAAGUGAUUUAAAAUGCAAUUUUCUAGAUUUGUUGUGGUUAUUUUUAGGGCUG
Molecule: long non-coding RNA, 573 nt
Organism: Cyprinus carpio (common carp)
Lineage: Eukaryota; Metazoa; Chordata; Actinopteri; Cypriniformes; Cyprinidae
Source: RefSeq, a predicted model, not a curated record